GAAGAAUCACAGCUCAGAGGUAGAGCACCUGCUUGGCAUGCAGAAUGUCCCAGGUUCAACCCCUGGCAUCUUCU
This 74-nucleotide transfer RNA is filed under the name Podarcis lilfordi (Lilford's wall lizard). Its description in RNAcentral is "tRNA.Ala". The stretch from base 11 to 66 matches the Rfam family "tRNA", at positions 9 to 63 of the family's 71-position model. Rfam says of the family: Transfer RNA (tRNA) molecules are approximately 80 nucleotides in length. The record is from RNAcentral. Lineage: Eukaryota; Metazoa; Chordata; Lepidosauria; Squamata; Lacertidae.